RNAcentral lists this ribosomal RNA (466 nucleotides) under uncultured bacterium. RNAcentral describes it as "partial 16S ribosomal RNA". It matches the Rfam family "Bacterial small subunit ribosomal RNA", at positions 28 to 507 of the family's 1533-position model. The record is from RNAcentral.
GACGAACGCUGGCGGCGUGCUUAACACAUGCCAGUCGAACGAAAAGGCCCUGCUUGCAGGGUACUCGCGUGGCGAACGGGUGGGUAACACGCGGGUGGUCAGCCCACCACUUCGGGAUAAGCUUGGUCAACAGGCUGUAGUACCUGCUAGGACCUCUCUUUAGUGUGUUUGGUGAAUAGUUUUGUCGGUGUAGGAUGAGCUCGGGGAGUAUAAGCUCGUUGGUGUGGUAAUGGCGUACCGGGGCGGCGAGGGGUAGCCGGCCUGCGAGGGUGUACGGCCACACUGGGCCCCAGAGACGGGCCACAGUCCGGCGGGUGGCAGCAGUGGGGAAUAUCGGACAGUGGGCGCAAGCGUGAGGCAGCGACGCCGCGGGGGGGUUGAAGGCCGUCGGGUGGUAAAAUCCUAUGGCUAGGGACGAAGCUUUGUUGUGACGGUACCUAGACAAGAAGCAACGGCUAACUACGUG